GACGAACGCUGGCGGCGUGCUUAACACAUGCGAGUCGAACGAUGAAGAAAAGAAUCGAAGCUUCGGCAGAAAUUCAUUUCGGAUUAGUGGCAGACGGGUGAGUAACGCGUGAGCAACCUACCUCUUACAAAGGGAUAGCCUCGGGAAACCGGGAUUAAUACCAUAUAACAUUGUGACGAAGCAUUUCGAUGCAAUCAAAGCUACGGCGGUAAGAGAUGGGCUCGCGUCCCAUUAACCGGAUGGUGAGGUAACGGCUCACCAUAGUGACGAUGGGUAACCGGCCUGAGAGGGUGAACGGUCACACUGGAACUGAGACACGGUCCAGACUCCUACGGGAGGCAGCAGUGGGGAAUAUUGCACAAUGGAGGGAACUCUGAUGCAGCGACGCCGCGUGAGUGAUGAAGGAAUUCGUUUCGUAAAACUCUGUUCUAUGGGAAGAAAAGGACUGUACCAUAGGAGAAAGCUCCGGCUAAAUACGUG
This 480-nucleotide ribosomal RNA is filed under the name uncultured bacterium. RNAcentral describes it as "partial 16S ribosomal RNA". It matches the Rfam family "Bacterial small subunit ribosomal RNA", at positions 28 to 507 of the family's 1533-position model. The record is from RNAcentral.